RNAcentral lists this ribosomal RNA (442 nucleotides) under uncultured bacterium. Its description in RNAcentral is "partial 16S ribosomal RNA". It matches the Rfam family "Bacterial small subunit ribosomal RNA", at positions 338 to 795 of the family's 1533-position model. The record is from RNAcentral.
CCUACGGGUGGCAGCAGUGAGGAAUAUUGGUCAAUGGCCGGAACCCUGAUGCAGCGACGCCGCGUGGGUGAAGGAGUGCUUCGGCAUGUAAAGCCCUAUCGGCAGGGAAGAAGCAAGACGGUACCUGACUAAGAAGCCCCGGCUAACUACGUGCCAGCAGCCGCGGUAAUACGUAGGGGGCGAGCGUUAUCCGGAUUUAUUGGGUUUAAAGGGUGCGUAGGCUGUGAGGUAAGUCAGCGGUGAAAUGCCCCCGCUCAACGGGGUGAAGUGCCAUUGAUACUGCCUUGCUGGAAUGCGGAUGCCGUGGGAGGAAUGUGUGGUGUAGCGGUGAAAUGCAUAGAUAUCACACAGAACACCGAUUGCGAAGGCAUCUCACGAAUCCGCGAUUGACGCUGAUGCACGAAAGCGUGGGUAUCAAACAGGAUUAGAUACCCGAGUAGUC